Non-coding RNA from Glycine soja, 154 nucleotides. Lineage: Eukaryota; Viridiplantae; Streptophyta; Magnoliopsida; Fabales; Fabaceae. The record is from Rfam.
AUCUUUGCGCUUGGGGCAAUGAUGCAGCUAGUAGUGAGGUUCUAACCAAAAAACGUCCAUUGCUGGUUGAAAACUAUUUCCAAACCCCCUAUUGGGUCUGGGUUCACCCUAGGCCUUUGAGAAUUUCUGGAAGGGCUUCCUCAUGGGCAAAGCC